This is a long non-coding RNA of Felis catus (domestic cat), 387 nucleotides long. RefSeq lists it as uncharacterized. The transcript is spliced from 2 exons. The record is from RefSeq and is a predicted model, not a curated record. Lineage: Eukaryota; Metazoa; Chordata; Mammalia; Carnivora; Felidae.
CUUUGGAGAGCCAACUUGAAGAUCCUCUCACUAGGCAACAUAGCUGGGGAGAACCCACUCUUUAGGCAUAUUAUAAGAUGGAUUUCUACAAUGCUUUCUCCUGGAAAAUACUGCAAGUAUUCAAGAGAAAUUACAAGUGCCAAAAUAAUUAUACAUUUUGGAGAAGGAGGUAAACUUAUCUCCUGACAGCUGGUAGAGCUUUAUGAAUGACCAGAAUAUUCUCAAAGAACUUGAUUCUAGCCAGUUAUUAAAUGAAGUUCUGUACCACUCUAUCUCCUGAAAAUCUCUAGGGAAUAACUUCUGAAUAUAUUAAAUAGAACUUUAAAAAAUUAAGUAAUUCUUUCAUAUUUUCCAAGUUUUCACUAAUUAAAAUCUUUCCGAAACACA